AAUCCAUAGGUUAAUGAGGCGAACCGGGGGAACUGAAACAUCUAAGUACCCCGAGGAAAAGAAAUCAACCGAGAUUCCCCCAGUAGCGGCGAGCGAACGGGGAGGAGCCCAGAGCCUGAAUCAGCAUGUGUGUUAGUGGAAGCGUCUGGAAAGGCGCGCGAUACAGGGUGACAGCCCCGUACACAAAAGCGCAUGUGCUGUGAGCUCGAUGAGUAGGGCGGGACACGUGGUAUCCUGUCUGAAUAUGGGGGGACCAUCCUCCAAGGCUAAAUACUCCUGACUGACCGAUAGUGAACCAGUACCGUGAGGGAAAGGCGAAAAGAACCCCGGCGAGGGGAGUGAAAAAGAACCUGAAACCGUGUACGUACAAGCAGUGGGAGCACCCUUUGGGUGUGACUGCGUACCUUUUGUAUAAUGGGUCAGCGACUUAUAUUCUGUAGCAAGGUUAACCGAAUAGGGGAGCCGGAGGGAAACCGAGUCUUAACCGGGCGUUAAGUUGCAGGGUAUAGACCCGAAACCCGGUGAUCUAGCCAUGGGCAGGUUGAAGGUUGGGUAACACUAACUGGAGGACCGAACCGACUAAUGUUGAAAAAUUAGCGGAUGACCUGUGGCUGGGGGUGAAAGGCCAAUCAAACCGGGAGAUAGCUGGUUCUCCCCGAAAGCUAUUUAGGUAGCGCCUCGUGAAUUCAUCUCCGGGGGUAGAGCACUGUUUCGGCUAGGGGGCCAUCCCGGCUUACCAACCCGAUGCAAACUGCGAAUACCGGAGAAUGUUAUCACGGGAGACACACGGCGGGUGCUAACGUCCGUCGUGAAGAGGGAAACAACCCAGACCGCCAGCUAAGGUCCCAAAGUCAUGGUUAAGUGGGAAACGAUGUGGGAAGGCCCAGACAGCCAGGAUGUUGGCUUAGAAGCAGCCAUCAUUUAAAGAAAGCGUAAUAGCUCACUGGUCGAGUCGGCCUGCGCGGAAGAUGUAACGGGGCUAAACCAUGCACCGAAGCUGCGGCAGCGACACUGUGUGUUGUUGGGUAGGGGAGCGUUCUGUAAGCCUGUGAAGGUGUGUCGUGAGGCAUGCUGGAGGUAUCAGAAGUGCGAAUGCUGACAUAAGUAACGAUAAAGCGGGUGAAAAGCCCGCUCGCCGGAAGACCAAGGGUUCCUGUCCAACGUUAAUCGGGGCAGGGUGAGUCGACCCCUAAGGCGAGGCCGAAAGGCGUAGUCGAUGGGAAACGGGUUAAUAUUCCCGUACUUGGUGUUACUGCGAAGGGGGGACGGAGAAGGCUAUGUUGGCCGGGCGACGGUUGUCCCGGUUUAAGCGUGUAGGUGUGUGUUCCAGGUAAAUCCGGUUCACUUUAACACUGAGGCGUGACGACGAGGCACUACGGUGCUGAAGCAACAAAUGCCCUGCUUCCAGGAAAA
RNAcentral lists this ribosomal RNA (1413 nucleotides) under Salmonella enterica. RNAcentral's name for it is "partial 23S ribosomal RNA". It matches the Rfam family "Bacterial large subunit ribosomal RNA", at positions 161 to 1616 of the family's 2925-position model. Lineage: Bacteria; Pseudomonadati; Pseudomonadota; Gammaproteobacteria; Enterobacterales; Enterobacteriaceae. RNAcentral also lists the same sequence under 1 other name. The record is from RNAcentral.